CCUACGGGAGGCAGCAGUGGGGAAUUUUGGACAAUGGGGGCAACCCUGAUCCAGCCAUUCCGCGUGAGUGAAGAAGGCCUUCGGGUUGUAAAGCUCUUUCGCAAGGGAAGAAAACUUAUGAUCGAAUAAAUCAUGAGGUUGACGGUACCUUGAUAAGAAGCACCGGCUAACUACGUGCCAGCAGCCGCGGUAAUACGUAGGGUGCGAGCGUUAAUCGGAAUUACUGGGCGUAAAGCGUGCGCAGGCGGUUUUGUAAGUCGGAUGUGAAAUCCCCGGGCUCAACCUGGGAACUGCGUUCGAAACUGCAAGGCUAGAGUGUGUCAGAGGGGGGUAGAAUUCCACGUGUAGCAGUGAAAUGCGUAGAGAUGUGGAGGAAUACCAAUGGCGAAGGCAGCCCCCUGGGAUAACACUGACGCUCAUGCACGAAAGCGUGGGGAGCAAACAGGAUUAGAUACCCUGGUAGUCCACGCCCUAAACGAUGUCAACUAGUUGUUGGUAGAGUAAAAUCUAUGAGUAACGUAGCUAACGCGUGAAGUUGACCGCCUGGGGAGUACGGUCGCAAGAUUAAAACNCAAAUGAAUUGACCGG
RNAcentral lists this ribosomal RNA (588 nucleotides) under uncultured bacterium. RNAcentral's name for it is "bacterial SSU rRNA". It matches the Rfam family "Bacterial small subunit ribosomal RNA", at positions 338 to 917 of the family's 1533-position model. The record is from RNAcentral.